Molecule: long non-coding RNA, 737 nt
Filed under: Sorghum bicolor (sorghum)
Lineage: Eukaryota; Viridiplantae; Streptophyta; Magnoliopsida; Poales; Poaceae
Description: long non-coding RNA (SBIC_LNC012396)
Source: RNAcentral
ACCCUAUUCUAAUAAGGCUUUAAUAUCUAGAGCUCAUAGGUGGGAGAUAAAGUAAUACAUACUUACAAGACAUUUAUUGUAUAGUCAAACCAUGGAUCCAAAGAAAUAAGUCAAUAAGUCAAAUCAAGAUGUGCAUGUGUGGCGAAUGAAUGGUAUAUAGUGAUGAUGGUGAUAACAAUGGUGAAAGUCUAAUUCUAUUUUUGCUCUUUUGAGGGGAUACAUACCUUUCUUGCACUUUGAAGCUUUUUGGGGAGAAUGAGAUGCUCUAUAUUUUCUUUUUCUUUUCUCUCAGGUGGGUAUCUUGUGUCCCUAAUUCUACUGUCGGACACUUGUCCAUUUUUACCUCUCGUCUCACUUUUCUUUUCUUUCGAGGUUCCGAGCACUUGCCCCUUUUUAUUUCCUCGUAUCCCUUUUUUUCUUUAGAGCACUCUUCUCAUGAGAUAAUAUAGCAAGUGGUAGUAACAAGAUAACUUGAGCAUUUAUUUCACAGGGGAAAAUAGAAAUGUUUUUGGCCAUUCUCUCCCGGAUUAGGAGUAGAAUACUUUUGGGUGGCUCUGGAGAGGGAAAUGAGUGGAUAUAUGUGGAUGCGUACUUCCGGAGUAGAAGCAACAUGUGUGAGUGAACGUGCAAGAGAAUCUUGAUUUUAACCGCAUGACAAACACCUAUGGGUCUACACAGCUUGACCACACUCAAUGCUCUUAAGAAGUAAAAAGUAAAUGUGUGGCUCAAAGUAUAGC